This is a long non-coding RNA of Dipodomys ordii (Ord's kangaroo rat), 530 nucleotides long. RefSeq lists it as uncharacterized. NCBI's taxonomy places the organism in Eukaryota, Metazoa, Chordata, Mammalia, Rodentia, Heteromyidae. The record is from RefSeq and is a predicted model, not a curated record. The transcript has 3 exons.
GUUCGUAAUGCGGCCUUCAGUUCCGUUCUUACCUCCUGAGCGUAUUUCACAGAAGACCUUUUUUUCUUUAAAUUCCUUGCUGUAGCUGACCUUAAGGGGAUGAGCAGAGAGAAGAGGCUGAAUAUUUUCGUCUCCGGAAACCUGUUUUGAUGGUGAUCUUAAGGAGUGCGGAGGUCCUGGAAUCUUACCCUUCCUGAUUGGGUGUGUAUGGGCCUGCUUUGGUGUCAAGGAAGAAUGUAUCACAGACAAACCUCCAAUACUAUCAGUUGGCAAACCAGUGGAAUUCAAUUCUGGGUGUGAAGUGCAUAAGGAAGAGGAAUCUAAAGCUAGGCUUCCCAAAAUAAUGACCAAAAUAAAAUGCCAAGGUUGUCUUGACCAAACAACCUGAGAAAAUUGGAUUCCAGGCAAAGGAAAUGUAACCAGAGAAGGUACAGGGAAUGCCCCUAGCAGUCAGGAGAGAGUUGCUAUAGUAUAAGGUAGAGCCUAGAAAGAUUCUUGAGUGCCCUGUUUCAAAACAUCUCUUUGCUUGU